RNAcentral lists this ribosomal RNA (325 nucleotides) under uncultured bacterium. RNAcentral's name for it is "bacterial SSU rRNA". It matches the Rfam family "Bacterial small subunit ribosomal RNA", at positions 28 to 357 of the family's 1533-position model. The record is from RNAcentral.
GAUGAACGCUAGCGGCAGGCUUAACACAUGCAAGUCGAGGGGUAUAGUAGCAAUACUAGAGACCGGCGCACGGGUGCGUAACGCGUAUGCAACCUACCUUUUACAGAGGGAUAGCCCAGAGAAAUUUGGAUUAAUACCUCAUAGUGUUAUUAGAUGGCAUCAUUUGAUAACUAAAGUUCCAACGGUAAUAGAUGGGCAUGCGUCCUAUUAGCUAGAUGGUAAGGUAACGGCUUACCAUGGCUACGAUAGGUAGGGUCCUGAGAGGGAGAUCCCCCGACACUGGUACUGGAGACACGGACCAGGACUCCUACGGAGGCAGCAGUGA